GUCUACGGCUAUGCCACCCUGAACAAGCCCGAUGUCUGAUCUCAGAAGCUUAAGCAGGGUUGGGCCUAGUUAGUACUUGGAUGGGAGACCACCUAGGAAGACCAGAUGUUGUAGACA
This 117-nucleotide ribosomal RNA is filed under the name Pteropus alecto (black flying fox). Lineage: Eukaryota; Metazoa; Chordata; Mammalia; Chiroptera; Pteropodidae. The record is from RNAcentral.